This 669-nucleotide ribosomal RNA is filed under the name Brevundimonas sp. I12B-00607. Its description in RNAcentral is "bacterial SSU rRNA". It matches the Rfam family "Bacterial small subunit ribosomal RNA", at positions 129 to 832 of the family's 1533-position model. Lineage: Bacteria; Pseudomonadati; Pseudomonadota; Alphaproteobacteria; Caulobacterales; Caulobacteraceae. The record is from RNAcentral.
CCUUUAGGUUCGGAAUAACUCAGGGAAACUUGUGCUAAUACCGAAUGUGCCCUUCGGGGGAAAGAUUUAUCGCCUUUAGAGCGGCCCGCGUCUGAUUAGCUAGUUGGUGAGGUAAAGGCUCACCAAGGCGACGAUCAGUAGCUGGUCUGAGAGGAUGAUCAGCCACAUUGGGACUGAGACACGGCCCAAACUCCUACGGGAGGCAGCAGUGGGGAAUCUUGCGCAAUGGGCGAAAGCCUGACGCAGCCAUGCCGCGUGAAUGAUGAAGGUCUUAGGAUUGUAAAAUUCUUUCACCGGGGACGAUAAUGACGGUACCCGGAGAAGAAGCCCCGGCUAACUUCGUGCCAGCAGCCGCGGUAAUACGAAGGGGGCUAGCGUUGCUCGGAAUUACUGGGCGUAAAGGGAGCGUAGGCGGACAUUUAAGUCAGGGGUGAAAUCCCGGGGCUCAACCUCGGAAUUGCCUUUGAUACUGGGUGUCUUGAGUAUGAGAGAGGUGUGUGGAACUCCGAGUGUAGAGGUGAAAUUCGUAGAUAUUCGGAAGAACACCAGUGGCGAAGGCGACACACUGGCUCAUUACUGACGCUGAGGCUCGAAAGCGUGGGGAGCAAACAGGAUUAGAUACCCUGGUAGUCCACGCCGUAAACGAUGAUUGCUAGUUGUCGGGAUGCA